ACGAACGCUGGCGGCGUGCUUAACACAUGCAAGUCGAACGGAAAGGCCCUGCUUUUGUGGGGUGCUCGAGUGGCGAACGGGUGAGUAACACGUGAGUAACCUGCCCUUGACUUUGGGAUAACUUCAGGAAACUGGGGCUAAUACCGGAUAGGAGCUCCUGCUGCAUGGUGGGGGUUGGAAAGUUUCGGCGGUUGGGGAUGGACUCGCGGCUUAUCAGCUUGUUGGUGGGGUAGUGGCUUACCAAGGCUUUGACGGGUAGCCGGCCUGAGAGGGUGACCGGCCACAUUGGGACUGAGAUACGGCCCAGACUCCUACGGGAGGCAGCAGUGGGGAAUAUUGCACAAUGGGCGGAAGCCUGAUGCAGCAACGCCGCGUGCGGGAUGACGGCCUUCGGGUUGUAAACCGCUUUCGCCUGUGACGAAGCGUGAGUGAUGGUAAUGGGUAAAGAAGCACCGGCUAACUACGUG
RNAcentral lists this ribosomal RNA (467 nucleotides) under uncultured bacterium. RNAcentral describes it as "partial 16S ribosomal RNA". It matches the Rfam family "Bacterial small subunit ribosomal RNA", at positions 29 to 507 of the family's 1533-position model. The record is from RNAcentral.